CAGGCUCCCUGGUUGUUGGUUCAGUCUCUU
RNAcentral lists this non-coding RNA (30 nucleotides) under Rattus norvegicus (Norway rat). The record is from RNAcentral. Lineage: Eukaryota; Metazoa; Chordata; Mammalia; Rodentia; Muridae.